Molecule: long non-coding RNA, 333 nt
Organism: Pollicipes pollicipes
Lineage: Eukaryota; Metazoa; Arthropoda; Thecostraca; Pollicipedomorpha; Pollicipedidae
Exons: 2
Source: RefSeq, a predicted model, not a curated record
GGCCGGUCAGCCGAUCCGCUGUUUUUAACAGUCAACUCUCAGUGUCCCGAACUAGACAGUAUAAAGUACUGAAAAAUAUCUAGAUAUGGGGAUUCAUCUGGCCGUAAUGGUGUGUUACAAUGGUUGCGAUGCGACUAAUCUGAGGACACCGAAAACGCUGCUGACUCACCGAAGCCUUCUCAAGCGACCAGACCAGCCUUCUUCCCUUUGAAAGAACCGUGGAUUUGAUGUUGAAGUGUGAUGGCACUUCUCAUGAAUGAGACAUGAGAUGAGAUGUGACAAUGAGACACAAAACAGAAGGCGAUAAUAUUUCAUAAAUGCCAAUUUGUGCCA